This 460-nucleotide ribosomal RNA is filed under the name uncultured soil bacterium. Its description in RNAcentral is "bacterial SSU rRNA". It matches the Rfam family "Bacterial small subunit ribosomal RNA", at positions 26 to 516 of the family's 1533-position model. The record is from RNAcentral.
AGAACGAACGCUGGCGGCAUGCCUAAUACAUGCAAGUCGAACGAACACUUCGGUGUUAGUGGCGCACGGGUGCGUAACGCGUGGGAAUCUGCCCUUGGGUUCGGAAUAACUUCGGGAAACUGAAGCUAAUACCGGAUGAUGACGUAAGUCCAAAGAUUUAUCGCCCAAGGAUGAGCCCGCGUAGGAUUAGCUAGUUGGUGGGGUAAAGGCCUACCAAGGCGACGAUCCUUAGCUGGUCUGAGAGGAUGAUCAGCCACACUGGGACUGAGACACGGCCCAGACUCCUACGGGAGGCAGCAGUAGGGAAUAUUGGACAAUGGGCGAAAGCUUGAUCCAGCAAUGCCGCGUGAGUGAUGGAAGGUCCGUUAAGGGUGUAAAGUCCUUCUUUUACCCGGAGAUGAAUAAUGAACAGUAAGUCGGAAGUAAUAGCUACCCGGUACUAACCGUCCGUGACCGAGCC